AUGUCCUCACCCAGGGCCUGGGGGGCCCCAACUCGUUCAGCCCCAUCAUCAGCCUGGGGAAAUAGGAGCUGCAUGGAAAUGGGGGAAUGGGGCUGGUGUGGAGCCCUGAGAGGGCUGCAGUGCCCAUCCUCGUCCUUGGCGGCCGUGAGCAGCCUCUGUGGCCCAGUCUGCAGUGGGGCCGAAAGGUGCACGAGGGGCUGGGGACAGGCAGGGCAGGUCUCUUGGCUGCUUGCAGCAUGGAAGACCAGAAGUCAAGGAGGUCUUUUCCUUGACACUCCUGUCCUUCUGAGGCCUGAGGGGUGGUCCUGUCCUGGGCACAGGUGGCCGCCCCUGGCAUGGUGCUCUGGUCCUGCUUCACCUAGUCAUGGCCAUCACCAGAGGGACUUAAAGUUCCAGAGUCCGGUUGAGCAGCGCGGGACAAUGGCCCUAGGCCUCCACAGGGGAGACCUUUGACCCCUCAGGCCGGCUCCCCUUCCAAAGGCAUCUUAGCUGUCUCACCCUUGCGGUCAGCUGGUCCUUCGUGGUCUUUUAUGUUUCCACAAACAGUUAUGGAUCUAGGAAUCUGUAAAACGGCUAUUUCAGUUCUCCCGCUCCAUUUCAUGCUGAACAGUUGAACCACCUCCUGCCCCCGGCCCAGUGGAUGGAGAUUCUUUUGAAGCUUCCUUCUGUCAUCAGGACCACACCACUUUCCUCCCCAGUUUCAUGCAGUUGGUAUCAGGCAGGAGACAGGUUCUGAUUCAAAGCAGGCACUAUGGCACGUGAAACGUCCCUGUAGACUUGAUUGUGUUUUUUAAAAAGUCUUUUAAAAAAAACGUUCAUUUGGCUGCACUGGGUGCUGGUUGCAGCAUGCCGGAUCUUUAGUUGUGAACUCCUAGUUGUAGCAUGUGGGCUCUAGCUCCCUGNNNNNNNNNNNNNNNNNNNNNNNNNNNNNNNNNNNNNNNNNNNNNNNNNNNNNNNNNNNNNNNNNNNNNNNNNNNNNNNNNNNNNNNNNNNNNNNNNNNGAUCUUUAGUUGUGAACUCCUAGUUGUAGCAUGUGGGCUCUAGCUCCCUGACCAGGGAUCGAACCUGGGCCCCUGCACUGGGAGUGUGGAGCCUUAACCACUGGGCCCACCGGGAAAGACUCCCUGUAAGCUUUAGGUAUUGUUUGUUCCCCACUCUCCGUGACGUCACUCAUCUCCUGGUCGUGGCUGGGUGGGCUUAUCUUUGGGGCCACCCCCCUCUUCCAGCCCUCCACUCCUAAGCCUGUGUCCCUGCAGAGCUGUAUCGUGGGGACAGAGGGUGGAGCCACUUCUUCCUGGAUACAAUAUAAGAUCUAGUUCUUUAAGAUUUUUAGCCUGGAACUGCUGGGCACCUGGAUGGAGCUCCUGGGGGUCUGCUUCGUGCUGCUGUUGUGAGCACUCAGUGAGAAGAAACAGAUGCACGGCACCUCUAGGGGCGCUCUCUUCGGGCUGGAUCACGGUGGCCUGGGGGAGGCUGUUUCAGGUUGGCACCGUCAGCGUCUCGCUGCUUGAGCUCAGGAUGUGGCUUGUGGUUCUUUGGUCUCUGGCACCAACAGAUCCGGGAGAACAGGCAGCCUUGGGCUGGCAGGACAGCCUUCUCUGCCCUCAGACCCAUGGUCUGAUCCCUGGCCGGUGUGCAGCAGGGGAGGGCUCUGACCAGAGCCCGUCAGGGCAGAGCAGGGAGCACUCAGUGGCUUCCUAUUUCAGCCCCUAGCCCUCCCGAGGCCCAGCUCCACUUCCCCGUGCGUGGGCUCCUCAAAUGCCCUGUAUCCCUGUAUAAAUGCUCACUUUUAAAAUCUCUAAGUGGGUCUCUGGUUCUUGCCAUCAAAAGAGGGUUGACUAAGGCAAAGCUGAUCUGUCCCCUGGCAUGAUUUUCAAGCCAUCGACUCAGAGGUAAAGAACGAGCGGGAGGAGCCCGCUCUGUCUGCUGCUUCCUCCCGUUUCCAGGGCAGGCAACGAGGCAGCCAGAGGGCCCCCUGGUGUCCUUGGGCCCAGCUCCCGCCCCGCAGGUCUCCACCUCCACACUCCCCUCCCUCCCAACCUCAAGGCCUGUGANNNNNNNNNNNNNNNNNNNNNNNNNNNNNNNNNNNNNNNNUGUAGGAAAGUGGCCCUGGAAAUAUUCCCAAGGUAAUGAGCGUCAGUCGAUCCCAGACCAACCAAGGAAUGUCCAUGGAUGGUAGCGGGUCCCAGGGAUAGCAGGAGGAAGGGACGGGCAGGUGUGCCCAGGAGGUGUGACUACAAGGGGGCGGGAGCAGGACAGAGCCUCCUUUGGACCCCCUUCCUGAUUCUAGAAGCCCUCCGGCCCCCGCCUGCCAGCUCCACACCCUUAAAGGCUGCUGCANNNNNNNNCCCGUGGCCCAGAGGCCCAGCCCCCACACAGCCUGCUUGGUCUGCUCUUCCUAGGAAUUCAAUUAUAGCAGCAAUUUCCUCUCUUCCUCUGCCCAGCACCCAGGGCUGCCCCACUGAGCCUCACCUGCUCUCCCAGGUGGGGCUGGGGGAGGGAGGAGACUGGAGCCACCAGCCGAUCUGACGAUAGACUGCUUAGAUUGCUUCAUCAGGAUCUGGCUCAGGAGGGAGACUCGCUUGACCACUGCCUUGGCACAGUCCCUACUUCCGAGCCUCACUUGGCCCACCUAUCAAAUAGGCAGAUUCAGUAUCUCUAUCAACCCUCCUUGCCCUAAAGGAGGCUUGGUGUGUUUUGCUUUUUCUUGGGGAAAUUCUUUUUUUUUUUUUAAUGUUUAUUUAUUUAUUUGGCUGCAGUGAGGUCUUAGGUGAGGGCCACGGGAUCUAGUUCCCCAGUCAGGGAUCAAACCCUGGGCCCCCUGCACUGGGCACACGGAGUCUUAAGCCACUAGACCAAGAAGGAAGUUCCACUGGGGAGACUCUUAUCUUGAAAGUGCAGUGUUUUUGUUAGAGACACAGGAAAAUUAGCUUAAUAAUGUUGUAGCCAUGCGUUCCAGGAAACAAACUCACUGAGAAGGACAAUGCA
Molecule: long non-coding RNA, 2988 nt
Filed under: Capra hircus (goat)
Lineage: Eukaryota; Metazoa; Chordata; Mammalia; Artiodactyla; Bovidae
Description: lncRNA (ENSCHIG00010011080.1)
Source: RNAcentral